AUGCCCCCCCACUUGCACACACACCACACAUGCUCUACACAGGCACACACGCCCCCCACUCACACCACACACGCUGCACACAGGCACACAUGCCCCAAACUCACACACACACACCACACAUGCCCCACACAGGCACACACGCCCCCCACUCACACACAUCACACAUGCUCCACACAGGCACACACACACCAUACACACACACCACACACACAACACACGCUCCACACAGGCACACAUGCCCCACACUCACACACACACCACACAUGCUCCACACAGGCACACAAGCCCCCCACUCACACACACCACACACGCUCCACACAGGCACACACACACCAUACACACACACCACACACACCACACACGCUCCACACAGGCACACAUGCCCCACACUCACACACACACCACACAUGCUCCACACAGAAACACAAGCCCCCCACUCACACACACCACACACGCUCCACACAGGCACACAUGCCCCACACUCACAUACACACACCACACACGCUCCACACAGGCACACAUGCCCCACACUCACAUACACACACCACACACGCUCUACACAUGUGCACACGCCCCACUCACACAUGCUCUACACAUGUACAUAUGCCCCACCACACACACCAUACACAUGUACACAUGCCCUAUCCUCACACACACACACUACUACAUGUACACAUGCCCCGUUCUCACACACACACCACACACUCUACACAUGUACACACACCCCCAUCCUCACAAACGCCACACACAAUCACAUACACCACACACUCACACAUACCCCAGAGGAACUCAGUCACACACCCCACACACACUCACGAGCCUCACUAUCACACACACCACAUACACUCAUACACACAUACCAUACACACUCUACACAUGUACACACAUCUUAAUCUCACACACAUACCACACACAGAGCCUCACAAUCACACACACCAUACAUGCACACACACCCCACACACACUCACAGACUCUCACAGUCAUAUAUACCAUACACUCCACACACACUCUACACAUAUACAAACACACCACUCACAUACUCCACACCCACAGACUCUCAUAAUCACACACACCACACAUACACUCACACACACACCCCACUCACACACCACAUUCUCAUAUACACACCACACACAGAUCCUCACAAUCACACACAACACACAUACACUCAUACAUACACACCCCUCUUACACACCACAUGCACCCAGUCACACAUACCACACACACUCACGGACUCUCACAAUCAUAUAUACACUCACGAGCCUCACUAUCACACACACCACAUACACUCAUACACACAUACCAUACACACUCUACACAUGUACACACAUCUUAAUCUCACACACAUACCACACACAGAGCCUCACAAUCACACACACCAUACAUGCACACACACCCCACACACACUCACAGACUCUCACAGUCAUAUAUACCAUACACUCCACACACACUCUACACAUAUACAAACACACCACUCACAUACUCCACACCCACAGACUCUCAUAA
Molecule: long non-coding RNA, 1506 nt
Filed under: Bos indicus x Bos taurus (hybrid cattle)
Lineage: Eukaryota; Metazoa; Chordata; Mammalia; Artiodactyla; Bovidae
Description: lncRNA (ENSBIXG00000010402.1)
Source: RNAcentral